UACGUAGGGUGCAAGCGUUGUCCGGAAUUAUUGGGCGUAAAGAGCUCGUAGGCGGUCUGUUGCGUCGGCUGUGAAAACCCGGGGCUCAACCCCGGGCCUGCAGCCGAUACGGGCAGACUAGAGUUCGGCAGGGGAGACUGGAAUUCCUGGUGUAGCGGUGAAAUGCGCAGAUAUCAGGAGGAACACCGGUGGCGAAGGCGGAUCUCUGGGCCUGUUCUGACGCUGAGGCGCGAAAGCUAGGGGAGCGAACAGG
Molecule: ribosomal RNA, 253 nt
Filed under: uncultured bacterium
Lineage: Bacteria
Description: partial 16S ribosomal RNA
Rfam family: Bacterial small subunit ribosomal RNA
Source: RNAcentral